AACCUAGCACACCUGCGGUGUGUACCUGCGGAGGGAUCAUUACCGAGUUUACAACUCCCAAACCCCUGUGAACAUACCUAUACGUUGCCUCGGCGGAUCAGCCCGCGCCCUGUAAAAAGGGACGGCCCGCCCGAGGACCCUAAACUCUGUUUUUAGUGGAACUUCUGAGUAAAACAAACAAAUAAAUCAAAACUUUUAACAACGGAUCU
Molecule: unclassified non-coding RNA, 209 nt
Filed under: soil metagenome
Description: partial contains 5.8S ribosomal RNA, internal transcribed spacer 2, and large subunit ribosomal RNA
Source: RNAcentral